Molecule: transfer RNA, 90 nt
Filed under: Holosporales bacterium
Lineage: Bacteria; Pseudomonadati; Pseudomonadota; Alphaproteobacteria; Holosporales
Description: tRNA-Ser
Rfam family: tRNA
About the family: Transfer RNA (tRNA) molecules are approximately 80 nucleotides in length. Their secondary structure includes four short double-helical elements and three loops (D, anti-codon, and T loops).
Source: RNAcentral
GGAGAGAUGGCCGAGCGGCUUAAGGCGCGCGCCUGGAAAGCGCGUUUACGGGAGACCGUAUCGCGGGUUCGAAUCCCGCUUUCUCCGCCA